RNAcentral lists this non-coding RNA (26 nucleotides) under Bombyx mori (domestic silkworm). The record is from RNAcentral. Lineage: Eukaryota; Metazoa; Arthropoda; Insecta; Lepidoptera; Bombycidae.
CAUCAUCGUAGCCGAGCAGCGUAGUG